AUUGAACGCUGGCGGCAGGCCUAACACAUGCAAGUCGAACGGUAACAGGAAACAGCUUGCUGUUUCGCUGACGAGUGGCGGACGGGUGAGUAAUGUCUGGGAAACUGCCUGAUGGAGGGGGAUAACUACUGGAAACGGUAGCUAAUACCGCAUAACGUCGCAAUACCAAAGAGGGGGACCUUCGGGCCUCUUGCCAUCGGAUGUGCCCAGAUGGGAUUAGCUAGUAGGUGGGGUAACGGCUCACCUAGGCGACGAUCCCUAGCUGGUCUGAGAGGAUGACCAGCCACACUGGAACUGAGACACGGUCCAGACUCCUACGGGAGGCAGCAGUGGGGAAUAUUGCACAAUGGGCGCAAGCCUGAUGCAGCCAUGCAGCGUGUAUGAAGAAGGCCUUCGGGUUGUAAAGUACUUUCAGCGGGGAGGAAGGGAGUAAAGUUAAUACCUUUACUCAUUGACGUUACCCGCAGAAGAAGCACCGGCUAACUCCGUG
RNAcentral lists this ribosomal RNA (490 nucleotides) under uncultured bacterium. RNAcentral describes it as "partial 16S ribosomal RNA". It matches the Rfam family "Bacterial small subunit ribosomal RNA", at positions 30 to 507 of the family's 1533-position model. The record is from RNAcentral.